AGAUCGAUACGAGCUGAGCUCACAGCAACACGACACCAACAGCUUCACCCCGUUUCUGUCUCAUCUCCUCCUGAGAACCUGCCGACUCUCAACCUCACUGACGUUCACCUCGUUUACUUCCGCUAUUUUCCAGGUGAGCUGACUGUGACAUCAUGUGAUCCUCUCUCUCCCCCUGCCUCCCUCGCCCACCCUCUCACUCCAUCCUCAGCUCCUCCUCCCAUUGGUCGGCUGAGCCCGGCUCACUGUUUGACUCAUCCAAUCCCGUGGCAGAGUGAGGGGAGGAGGUGAUGUCAUCACCAGCUGCUGACUCACCAAUCACAUGAGAUCAGCCUCGCUCGCCCGCCCUCCCUCUGUCUUUGUGUUUCCCACAGAUCCCGAACACUUCCCGUAAAACACAUCAGCUGACCCAGAGGCUGAGCGUGUGUGUAUGACAUCAUACAGUCCAUUUCAGCUGAUGUCAGACUAUAUUUUUGAGGGAUGACCUCAUUCUGCACAAACUACAGACAUACCUGCAGAUUCCUCCUCUGCAUGUUUGUGUGAUUUUAUCUGCAGCAACUUUGUCUCCGACAAAACACCUUCAGGCUUCUUUAUUCUGUAUUCAUUAUUUUUAACCUUUGGAUGCAUCUGGCAGGAAAAUAUAACACAGUUGAUAUGAGUAAUACUCAUCCAGGUAGAACAGACACAGUUUGUUGUGGAAUGGUUCUGGGGUUGGUUUGUGUGUUUCUUUUAUUGUUUUUGGAGUAGUCUGGGGCUAAUACUGGGCUGUUCUUGCUCUAACUUCAGACUUGUUUUGGACAGGUAUUGAGUUUCUUAUUCACUGUUUUUGAGCUGAUUUUGGAUAUGUUUUCAAUAAUGGUUUGGGUUUAGGGGCAAGGGUGGCAGUUUUAGACUCACUUUAGGUUUCUUCUGUAAAAUUUUUGGACUGAUGUGGACCGGGCGUUCCUUGGACUAGUUUUACUUUCCUUUGAACUGAUUUUGGGGCCUGAUUUUGGACUUGUUUUGGGCUAAUAUAGGGUUUCUUUUUGACUAGUUUUGUGUUUGUUCUGGACUAGUUUUGUUCUAGUUUAGGAUUUGCUUUUGGACUGGUUUUGGGCCUGUCUUUUAACUGAUGCUGAAGUGGUUUGGGCUGAUUUUGGACUGGUUUUGGUGUUGCACUGGUGUUAGACAAACAACAAAAGCUAGACUAAAAGACCAACUUUUAUUCUAGAUUUUCAAGCUUUGUCUUUUGGAACAUUACAGCAUUACAUAUUUUCUCACUGAUUCACUGGAUUUUAAGAAUAUGUCUUCUGUAAAUAAUUGGACUAUUUCAGAAAUGACAGAAACUGAUUUUUGUUUGUUUGUUGUUAACACUCCAACCAACCAACCAAAAGGUCUUAGCAUGACUUAAAUACGUGGUUUCAUCUGCUAAUUGAUGCACCUGAACAUGAUGCUCAUUAACCUGAUGCCUGCUGCCACUUCUCCUGCUCCUCAGCAUCACUUUUGAGAAAGCUUGAUAUGUCCUACUUUUCAAAUAACCUGCAAAGAUUAAUUCAAAAAGACUGUAUGAGCAGGAAUCAGCCUGAAUAUCAUUUUUGCAGACUAAUCAGAGCAUCAGAAGCUGUUUGUCCUUAUAUGGACAGAGAGCCACUGGAAAACAAAGGCAGCAGUCACGAUGCUGACGAGUUUGUGUGUCUGUGUGUGUGUUUAUGUGUGAUUGAGGAGGGUGGGGGGUUCCCUGGAAAACAAUAGCAGCUUUGGCUUUGUGCUGAAACUGACUAAUAAUGUCAGCAGUGAGUCAGAAAGCAGCCAGAAAUGGAAAACAAGCGCUCCCUGGCAGGACAGAAGGAGGGUUCCCGUUAACCGAAGUCUGGUGGUGCUGCUGGUGACCCACAGAGGGCUACGAGUCCACGUCAUUGGUCAGGAAACAGUGAGAGGAGGCUGCUGCUGCGUUCAGGUCCUGGGGGAAACAGACGGGAGAUUUUUCCUGCAAGGAAAAGGCCGUUUUCAGAGGAGGAACAGUUGGCCUGUUUGAG
Amphiprion ocellaris (clown anemonefish) is the source of this 2012-nucleotide long non-coding RNA. Lineage: Eukaryota; Metazoa; Chordata; Actinopteri; Pomacentridae. The record is from Ensembl.